UUUCCAGACCGCAUUUUAUUGAAGCGCUUCUACCGAUGUAUGUACGGUGACAUAAAAGGCGCCAAGAAGCUCAUAAAAAUUAAUUACAGUAUGCGCAAUAAGCAUUCGCACAUCUUUCUCGAACGUGACCCAACCGAUGCGGAUAGUAAACAAACAUUCGAUUAUGCGGAUCUGAUACCACUGCCGGGUCUUACACCAGAAGGUUACAAAGUGAGCUGUUAUCGUUUAGUAGAUUUUGAUCCAGCGAAGGUGAAUCAUACCGCCGAUACCAAAGCAUUUUUCAUGGUCUCCGAUUGUCGUUUUAACACAUAUGAUGGCUUUGCUUCCGACGAGGAGAAUGUAGAAACAUUUGCUAAUGGUGAUGUGCAAAUUUUCGAUAUGAAUGGCUACACACUGAAGCACCUCAGUAGGAUGACUUUCAGUACACUGCGCAUAUACAUGGCUUUCCUGCAGGAGGCAUUGCCCGUUCAUUUAAAGGCAAUCCAUAUCAUUAACUGCCCCCCAUAUCUGGAUAAGGUGGUUAGCAUUAUGAAGCCUUUUAUAAGUAGUGAAGUCUUCAAACUGAUACGAUUUCAUACCGUCAGCUUGGACAGCCUUUACGAACAUGUACCACGUAGCAUACUGCCGGAAGAAUAUGGCGGAACAGGGGGAAAAAUCGCAGACCUUAAGGCAAUACUUUUGUCUGAACUGGCGCACAAGAGAGAUUAUCUGAUGGAUCCAAGUCAUUGGAAAAUUGAAGCAGACAAGGAAAAUGCUGAGCGUCGCCGUUGGCUGUUUAAAUAAUACCUACAUAUGUAUUUGUUUUUUUUAUUAUUUAAAAGUUAAAUUUCAGAACCAAUCCAGUAACCAUGAUUAUUCUCUAUUUUAGCACAGUAUAAUUAAGAAAACGUUUAUUUAUGCGUGAAAACUUUUCUGUGAAACUAUGUAAUACAUGUUACAAAAAUAUUUUAUUUGGGUUUGUUCGCUUGUGGGUUUCUGCCAGUUGUUUUUCUUUCUGUACAUGAUCCGCGACUUUUCCUGAAACCCUAUUGAGUCUCGAAUGGCCAAAGAGGUCUUUCCAAAUGUUGUGCUCAACCUCAGUCUGCAUAGCCUUAUUCUUUUACACGGAUCCCCAAUUUAGACAUAGCAUCGUAGACGCAGGUUCUCUUCGUGCUUUCAAAAGCAGCUUUAAAAUCAAGGAAAAGGUGGUGAGUGUGAAUUUUUUUGGCGACAUUCCUUUCUAGGAUAUGGCAUACUGUGGAGAUCCGUUCAACAACCUAUACAUUGAUCUGGGGUUUUCUUCAACAAUCGAGCGUGUUUUCACCAUUUCUCUAGUUUACACUGGACGUCUGAUACAAAAUACCGAUCUUCGUUUAGCAGGAACUAGCCCCGGUCUUGAAACCAUUUGAUUGCUGUCUUAUUUUCUGAUAGAAUUUUCGAGCCACAUUCCUGCCUUCCACCCACCGAAGACGCUCCCAAAGUCGAAAGGUCCUUCCACGAGGUCAUAAAAAUAGAAUCACUUAAGCGGAAGCGACAUAACCUGCAUGCGCGUGUCACAAGCCGCAGCCAGUAUGCUAUAGAGGAAAACCAUCGAAAGAAUAAGUAUGCAAUAAUGAUUGAGGACAGCUGCCAUGGCUUCCUACGACGAUGACUGCUCUAUUUUGAUAACUAUCUCAACGAAGUGGAAAUACAUCGCCAGAAAUCUGCAAAAGAAUAGCAGUCGAGCCUAACAACUGCAACAUCUAGUUACUUUUCUUCAUUCUGCCAGAUUUGGCUGAUUAAACAUUGCAUGUGUUACUUUUUGAUGUUGUGUACGUUUAGGCCCCAUUGCGUGGCGAAUGUCAGAAUUGCAAAAGUGACUUCGUUGCGAGUGCACGUGUUUCCACUGUGUCGUGGGGUUGAUCGCGCAGAAGUUGCUAAAGUCGCGUGUGUGGAUUGUGGCGCCUACUUCCAUGCUUCAUGCGCCAAAAUUACCGCGUUUGAAUACAUGAAAUCAAACAACGUGAAGCAUCGCUGUGACGGUUGUAACUUUUUGCGUCGUAAGUCUGCAUCAGCAGCAGUUGCCAUGUACCACGGCUGUAGUAUCAUCAGAUUCGGGCUUAUCCGUUCCUUCUGGGUCGAGGAUUCUCCCACAUCCCGCCAGCAAAUCUUCGACGGCUGUGCUCCCUAAGCAAAACCC
This 2158-nucleotide unclassified non-coding RNA is filed under the name Rhagoletis pomonella (apple maggot). RNAcentral's name for it is "alpha-tocopherol transfer protein-like, transcript variant X1". Lineage: Eukaryota; Metazoa; Arthropoda; Insecta; Diptera; Tephritidae. The record is from RNAcentral.